This 850-nucleotide ribosomal RNA is filed under the name uncultured bacterium. Its description in RNAcentral is "bacterial SSU rRNA". It matches the Rfam family "Bacterial small subunit ribosomal RNA", at positions 75 to 925 of the family's 1533-position model. The record is from RNAcentral.
GGGGGCAACCCUGUGAGUACAGUGGCAGACGGGUGAGUAACACGUGAACAACCUACCCUUGAGUGGGGAAUAACACCGCGAAAGCGGUGCUAAUACAGCAUAACAUCCCUGGGUUGCAUGAUCUGGGGAUCAAAGGCGCAAGUUGCUUGAGGAGGGGUUCGCGGCUGAUUAGCUAGUUGGUGAGGUAACGGCCCACCAAGGCAACGAUCAGUAGCCGGCCUGAGAGGGCGAACGGCCACACUGGAACUGAGACACGGUCCAGACUCCUACGGGAGGCAGCAGUGGGGAAUUUUGCGCAAUGGGCGAAAGCCUGACGCAGCAACGCCGCGUGGAGGAUGAAGGCCUUCGGGUCGUAAACUCCUGUCAGGGGGGACGAAAGCCGGGAAACCGGCAUGACUGUACCCUCUGAGGAAGCCACGGCUAACUCCGUGCCAGCAGCCGCGGUAAUACGGAGGUGGCAAGCGUUGUUCGGAAUUACUGGGCGUAAAGGGCGCGUAGGCGGCUUGGCAAGUCAGAUGUGAAAGCCCCGGGCUUAACUCGGGAACUGCAUCUGAAACUGCUUUGCUUGAGUCCUGGAGGGGGUAGUGGAAUUCCCAGUGUAGCGGUGAAAUGCGUAGAUAUUGGGAGGAACACCUGUGGCGAAGGCGGCUACCUGGACAGUGACUGACGCUGAGGCGCGAAAGCUAGGGGAGCAAACGGGAUUAGAUACCCCGGUAGUCCUAGCCGUAAACGAUGGACACUUGGUGUUGGGGGUAUUGAGUCCCCCGGUGCCGGAGUUAACACGUUAAGUGUCCCGCCUGGGGAGUACGGUCGCAAGACUGAAACUCAAAGGAGUUGACGGGGGCCCCGC